CCUACGGGAGGCAGCAGUGAGGAAUAUUGGUCAAUGGGCGCGAGCCUGAACCAGCCAAGUAGCGUGAAGGAUGACUGCCCUACGGGUUGUAAACUUCUUUUAUAAAGGAAUAAAGUGAGGCACGUGUGCCUUUUUGUAUGUACUUUAUGUAUAAGGAUCGGCUAACUCCGUGCCAGCAGCCGCGGUAAUACGGAGGAUGCGAGCGUUAUCCGGAAUGAUUGGGUUUAAAGGGAGCGUAGAUGGGUUGUUAAGUCAGUUGUGAAAGUUUACGGCUCAACCGUAAAAUUGCAAGUGAUACUGGCAGUCUUGAGUACAGGUGAGGUAGGCGGAAUUCGUGGUGUAGCGGUGGAAUGCUUAGAUAUCACGAAGAACUCCGAUGGCGAAGGCAGCUUACUAGACUGCAACUGACAUUGAUGCUCGAAAGUGUGGGUAUCAAACAGGAUUAGAUACCCUUGUAGUC
RNAcentral lists this ribosomal RNA (460 nucleotides) under uncultured bacterium. RNAcentral describes it as "partial 16S ribosomal RNA". It matches the Rfam family "Bacterial small subunit ribosomal RNA", at positions 338 to 795 of the family's 1533-position model. The record is from RNAcentral.